RNAcentral lists this ribosomal RNA (495 nucleotides) under uncultured bacterium. Its description in RNAcentral is "partial 16S ribosomal RNA". It matches the Rfam family "Bacterial small subunit ribosomal RNA", at positions 28 to 507 of the family's 1533-position model. The record is from RNAcentral.
GACGAACGCUGGCGGCGUGCCUAAUACAUGCAAGUAGAACGCUGAUGGAGGAGCUUGCUUCUCUGGAUGAGUUGCGAACGGGUGAGUAACGCGUAGGUAACCUGCCUGGUAGCGGGGGAUAACUAUUGGAAACGAUAGCUAAUACCGCAUAAGAGUAGAUGUUGCAUGACAUUUGCUUAAAAGGUGCAAUUGCAUCACUACCAGAUGGACCUGCGUUGUAUUAGCUAGUUGGUGGGGUAACGGCUCACCAAGGCGACGAUACAUAGCCGACCUGAGAGGGUGAUCGGCCACACUGGGACUGAGACACGGCCCAGACUCCUACGGGAGGCAGCAGUAGGGAAUCGUCGGCAAUGGACGGAAGUCUGACCGAGCAACGCCGCGUGAGUGAAGAAGGUUGUCGGAUCGUAAAGCUCUGUUGUAAGAGAAGAACGAGUGUGAGAGUGGAAAGUUCACACUGUGACGGUAGCUGACCAGAAAGGGACGGCUAACUACGUG